ACCAUAACUAUUUUAUUUUAAAGAUCUAAUAAUUUUAGAGAAUUUAAUUAGUUAAAUUGAGAGAUGAGAUGAGACUUGACCAGUUAAUCUUAAUCCUCCUACUGACUUUACCAAGUCAGAUUUAAGAAGAUCAGGCAUAAACUGGUCCAGCCAACCAGUCAUGAAUCCUCCUACUAGCUUCACCAAAUCAUAAAGAGGACUCAAGACAAGUUGAACUAGAGACACC
RNAcentral lists this long non-coding RNA (226 nucleotides) under Elaeis guineensis (African oil palm). Its description in RNAcentral is "long non-coding RNA (EGUI_LNC051730)". The record is from RNAcentral. Lineage: Eukaryota; Viridiplantae; Streptophyta; Magnoliopsida; Arecales; Arecaceae.